This is a non-coding RNA of Manis javanica (Malayan pangolin), 2140 nucleotides long. NCBI's taxonomy places the organism in Eukaryota, Metazoa, Chordata, Mammalia, Pholidota, Manidae. The record is from RefSeq and is a predicted model, not a curated record.
ACAUUCCCAUUUUUGCCAUCUGAGACAUGUGUUUCCAGUUAACACAAUUUACAAUAUGCUUACAAACUGUUUUCUUAUAAUCUCAUUUAAUCCUCAAAAUCACACUUCUGCUAUUCUCCAUUUAUGACGAAAAUGUGACAUCCAAAAGGGUGAGUGACUUACUCGUUCAUAUCAUAAAGUCAACAAUGACAAAGCCACAGAGACCACUGCAGUGACCACGGCAGCCGGAGCACCUCCCCUGACCCAGGUGCAGCCCAGGUGCCCCACUCUGCACUUCCCACGCUCAUUAGCACUGAUUCCAUCCACACCGAGCUGGGUCUCAUCACUCCCAUCUUGCAGAGGGGCAAGGACGCUGAAGAGCACAGAGCUGGUGAGGGUAAAAGAAGGGUGAGAGGCCUGGGCCACAUGCUCGGGGAGCCCGAGCCCAUCAGCUCCCACGCAGCCCCCAGACCACAGCCUGCGCUCCUCUCCAGGUGAAGCAGUCAGCACUUCCUAACAAGCUCCUGCUUGGCCCCCACUCAACAAUGACACCUGAACCACUGGUUAGGCAUGGUACACUGUCAAAAAUGCUACCCAUGCAGGUGCUUUUCCUGAUCCAGCCACUGACUGCAUGACUUGAAGGAGUGAACAUCAGCUACAACGCUGCACCUGAAACACUGGAGUGGUGAUGCCAUCUUACAGGUUGGAUCCUCUCAGAGUUGGGAGGCACCUCAAUGGUGAUUGAGCCCAGCCCCUGAGCCCUGAGCCUGGGUUUCUCCAGUGUUCUCCAGGGCAGUCCGCAGAGAAGCAGUUUCUCUUAUGGGGACCCCAAGGCUGUCCACAUCAUCCUACUCUGUUUAUUUUCCACCACUCCUGGAAGAUGUGCAAUCUGGGGUCCAGAGAGGAGACUCCUGGAGAAGUCACAGACCCAGAGAAGUGACUGUUCUUGAGGGUCCUCUGGUUCAACAACCCUGCCUGGGGCUAGAAAGACCUAGACAAGCUAAGCCGAGGAGGGGGCAGGAGGGAGGACUUGAACGCAGACCCCACCCUCCAGGAGGAUACCCAGGCUGCGUGCCCCAGCGGGUACCAGUGGUCAAAGGGACCAUAUUGAGGGAUUGGGCCUCCUUGUGCUUCUGAGUGCAUUUUUUAACAUCUGAGGCCCAGCCCAGCCGCAGAAUGUCUGGUCCUGGCUCUGCAAAGCAGCUGUUGCCUCUGGCAUGUUAGAGACCUUGGCCAAAGCGCUUGUCCAUUUUCUCUCCUUCCUGGGAUGGCUCAACAGCCUGCAGGUGUGUAGAGAAACCAACCCCAGGCCCAUGGGGCUGCAGGCACACGAGAGCGGGAUGUCUCACGAUCUCUAGACCCGAAGGCAGCUUCUCGAUGGUGAUCUGUUUAUCAGACCGCUCAUUCCCGUCCCACCGCCUGCCCACAUCCAUUCACCCACCGGCGGAGGGCCAGCCUCGCUGCUCCUCCCAGCCCUGAGACAGGUCAGGCCGUCCAAGGCUGCCAGCCUCGUGCGGGAGGGCUCCUUAGAGCCCCCCCCAGUUAGACAAUGGCCACGUUCCUGCUUCCUAGGCCUUCGGAGGCAUCGUACAAGGAGAGAGCAGCCUUCCUUGCAGAGGCAAGUGUCGCUGCUGAUGAAACACUAGCAAAAUUAUCAUUAAAAACCGGACCCAUCGCCCUCUUCCAGGGAGCAGGGAAAGGACCGGAGUCUGAGGUUCAUGCGUCCGCCCCAGCGCAGGCUCCUCCGCCCCCCGCCCCCGCCCUGCUCCCGCGGCGAAGGAGAGGGCGACCCACUUACUGCUUGCGCUCAUGGUGACGCCUGUGCCCCGAGCCUUUCAUGCAGGACGCAGGACCCGGCAGCUUUUUAAAUCUUUGGAUAUUUCGACCUCACUCAUCACCUGGGGGGUGAAAAGGCAGUCCAGUGCCGGCUGUCUCCCCGCAAGCGCUCGCCCCCUCUGCUGUCGCCCCCCGGUCUGGGCUGUAGCUACCGGCCUAGAAGGCGAGUGGGCCGGCCGGCAGGCGCAGAGGCCCUCACCCUACUCUGACUGCACCCACGGUCUCAACACCUUCCUCACUGUGAGUGUCAACGGCGACGACAGGCACAGCAGCACCAUGGCAGGCACCUAGUAAAUGCUCAUGCACUGCAGUGCUUGCCUUGGGA